MicroRNA precursor from Cephalotus follicularis, 122 nucleotides. The record is from Rfam. NCBI's taxonomy places the organism in Eukaryota, Viridiplantae, Streptophyta, Magnoliopsida, Oxalidales, Cephalotaceae.
UAGUGACUGUGAUAUUGGCCUGGUUCACUCAGACAAAACAUUUGUAUUUCUUUUUUGCAAAGCAAUUUGGUGCGUGUAUUGUUUUGGUUUGAUUGAGCCGUGCCAAUAUCUCAGUGCUCUUU